RNAcentral lists this transfer RNA (32 nucleotides) under Elegia intermedia. RNAcentral's name for it is "partial tRNA-Phe". Lineage: Eukaryota; Viridiplantae; Streptophyta; Magnoliopsida; Poales; Restionaceae. The record is from RNAcentral.
GGUCAGGAUAGCUCAGUUGGUAGAGCACGAGG